Molecule: ribosomal RNA, 468 nt
Filed under: uncultured bacterium
Lineage: Bacteria
Description: partial 16S ribosomal RNA
Rfam family: Bacterial small subunit ribosomal RNA
Source: RNAcentral
GACGAACGCUGGCGGCGUGCUUAACACAUGCAAGUCGAACGGAAAGGCCCUGCUUUUGUGGGGUGCUCGAGUGGCGAACGGGUGAGUAACACGUGAGUAACCUGCCCUUGACUUUGGGAUAACUUCAGGAAACUGGGGCUAAUACCGGAUAGGAGCUCCUGCUGCAUGGAGGGGGUUGGAAAGUUUCGGCGGUUGGGGAUGGACUGGCGGGUUAUCAGCUUGUUGGUGGGGUAGUGGCUUACCAAGGCUUUGACGGGUAGCCGGCCUGAGAGGGUGACCGGCCACAUUGGGCCUGAGAUACGGCCCAGACUCCUACGGGAGGCAGAAGUGGGGAAUAUUGCACAAUGGGCGGACGCCUGAUGCAGCAACGCCGCGUGCGGGAUGACGGCCUUCGGGUUGUAAACCGCUUUCGCCUGUGACGAAGCGUGAGUGACGGUAAUGGGUAAAGAAGCACCGGCUAACUACGUG